RNAcentral lists this long non-coding RNA (5538 nucleotides) under Taeniopygia guttata (zebra finch). RNAcentral's name for it is "lncRNA (ENSTGUG00000025797.1)". Lineage: Eukaryota; Metazoa; Chordata; Aves; Passeriformes; Estrildidae. The record is from RNAcentral.
AUUGCACUGUACCUAAUUUAUUAAAAGCUUAUAUAAUAGAGAAACAAGGAAGGUUUGUUUUUGUUUUUUGGUUUUUUUUCAGAGAAUGGCUCUUAUCUCAGGAAAGACUGUCAUAUACAGAUUCAUAUAUACAUAUUUGUGUAUAUACUUUUAGUAUUUAGGUGUAAUAUAUACUUUUGGUAAAUGCACACAUCUGUAUUGACAGUUGAGGAACUUGUCAUAAUCUUUUAUCUUAUUUCAGCUUGAACUAAGAACACAUGCAGUCUAAGUCACUGAUUUACAGUUCUUUUGACCUUCGAAAUCUCAGUUUGUCUGUCUCUUAAACUGCAUUGCAGGUAGAUAUGGUCUUUCCACAAUAACUUAUGGAGCACUUGGGGCCUAUUUUAGCAUCUAUGUAUUACUACCUAUAAAACUUAGUACAUACAUUUGAAGACAUCCUUUUUGGGGGAGAAAAGAUUUACAAAAUUGGACUGAUGCAUCAACCAUAGUGGAACAUAACUGAGGAGUGAAACAGCAGAUUGUUAAAACCUCCUAAUUUUAACACCUAUUAAGAACAAUCUCUGACGAAUGCCAGAAAAUACACUGCAAAAUACUAGGCAGUCUCCUGCCACAUAAAGCUUGAGUACAAGGACACUGUUUAUUAGUGGGCUCAAGCAGCUAAAGGGAAAAGGUUUUUGAUAGUGUUGGCAAAACCAAAGCACUUUAAGCCACUGUGUUCAUACAGAAUGAGUUUGCAGACACCAAUUAUAGGCAAAUUAUCACUGCUGGUACCCCUGAUAACUGACUGAAAGAUGCCAGCUGUAGAAGGAAUGAGAGCACUUUUUCCAAGACUUCAUUCCCUCACAGAGACAGAGAAAUGAUGGCAAAACCUUAGAGUCCAAUUAAGUUAACAGACUCUUACUUGGAGCACAGGAAGCAGAAUAAGGGUUUGUUCAGAACACAGCUCUCCAUAGGCUAUCAUCAGUGGUUGCCACAGCCACUGGGUCCUUCUGUGCUACACUGUGCCACUGCCUCUAUCAUCACAGUGAAGGCUGUACAUGUAAAAAUGAGCUGGCUAAUUAAUCACAAAUCAUACUAAAACAUUAACAAGAAAGAAAAGUUCCCAUGCCACUUCUCAAAAGUAUUAGGCUGUGCCCAUUUUAUUCUACUUUUUCCCAUAAAUUAUGAAGCAGUCAUUAUAUAAAGGUUUGGACUGAACUAACUCGCCCUACUUCCCAUUUAUCUCAGUGUGAUGCAUUUACUUUGGAAAUGGUUGAUUACAAGUAGAUAAUCCUGAAAUUAUAAAAGUAACUAUUGUAGCUUUAUUUUUAAAACAAAUUUUACCUUUUCAUGUCUCUAGGUACCUGUACCAUAAUAAUUUUCCUCCUCCUUGUCUAUGAAUUUCCUUAUGCAAUUUACAAAUCUGUUUGGUAUAAUAAACCCUAUUAAUCUAAGAUAAGUGCAAUAAUAUCAAAUCUAUUGAAAUAAUGAAGUUGUGAGAGAAAAUAAAUGGACAGAAGAUUUUUAGCAAUCAAAGAUGCAGAAGAUUAAAAGUCCAUUCCCUUCACAGUAGAUCUCUGAAUUCACCCAGAGAAGACUGGAUUUUCCAGGAACCAUUCAUAAUUAAAAGACAACCUAUCACUUACAGAGGAGGCCGCAAUAAUGAAUUACUUGCAUUAUCUAAUCUUCACCAUUUACCUACCUGCUUUAUAUAGGUAUAAAGUUACCAAUUCUGCUCUCAUUGUCAGCUCUAACCUCCAUUAACUCACCCUAGCUUUGGUGAGAAUGCUGACCGCUGCUCAGGGUUUCAGCUGCUGACUGAAGGAUGUCAGGCCAUCCACCUUGUUGAUCCAUCUUCUGCUUUACUGAGUUGUGCUAGGUCCUUCCUAGCUUUCAGCCAGGGCUGGAGGACAGUCAUCCCACAGGGCUGAUUUCAGAAGCUUUGUGCAGUCACAGCAGUAGUCUGACGCCACAGUUUAUGUUUCUUGGCAUUUUAAACUUCUUCAUAAUGACAUUUGUGAAGUGAAAGAUGAUAAUACCUCCCUACCACAGACACUAUUUAGAUGCUGUGAUAUGUCUGGUUCUAUAAUGAUUACCACCAGAAGGACAGAUAAUUUGACACCAAGAAGCAGUCAACAGAGUUAUUUUUGUUACAGGGUGAACUCAGUACUCUGGAGAAUGGUGCCCGGUGCAGAAGGACUUCAGAACUCUGACAUGAGUGCAUUAAAAGCAGACAAAGGAACAAAUGCAUAAUGCAUUCUAAUAGGUACUUACAUGUUAAAUAGUGGCAGUAUAUUAUUCUGAGACAUAGCUUUGAAUUUAUAAAUUCUCUGGAUUUAUAUAUUUUUAAAGCUUUUCGAUACUAUUUUUUAUAAUUAAAGCAAUGCGGCCUAAAUGCACAUAAUAGAAAGUUGCAGAACAUGCCAACACACCUUUGGGAACAUGAUUGUGUGCUACUUCUUGCAGCUUUGUUUAGUCUCAGAAAAUUAAUGCUAACAUUGAUAAGCAACAUUCACAAAUUCAGAUCAGAUAGUGCUGCUCUGCUUCAUUCAGAGAAAAAAUUAAUUUCAAAGACUUAAUCUGCUGUGCUCAGAAGCUUGAACACCCAGGGCACUCAGGCAAUGGCCAUCAGGGUUUCAUCAAUGGAUCAUCAAAUUAAGCUUUAUUUUAAUGCUAAUUUGCAUAUGUACAUGACAUUAUGGUGAGAAAUGAGUACAGUUUCAUUUGACACUUUGGUAUCUGUAAAUAACAAAUGGAUUUUUUUCUUAAUAGCAAGAUUGGUGACUUUUUUUUAAAAAAAACAAUAUUUAUCCUCCUUUAGAACUCAAAGGGAGAAAAUGUAUAAAUCUCUUAUUUAUUUUCAGGCCUAUAAGGAGCAGAGCACAUAUUUAAAGAUAAAUAAAUUUUGAAUCACAAAUGGAUCUGUCUGGGUAAACUCCAGAGACUUCUAACAAGAUACAGAACAUUUCACUCCUAUGACAUUAGUUUGAAAUUAGGCCAGGUAAACAGAGAGCAGAAGUCAUUUUCAUCUUAUAUCUGUUCAGUAGCCUACACAAAAUGAGUUGUUGGGGUUUAAUGCAUGCAUCUCCUUGGGGUCACACAGCUGCUUUUUAGAAACCAACAUUAAUCAGCAGUCAGUCUGAAUUAUGAAUAUGCACAGACAAACUAGCAGUAGUAUGCAAAUAAUCCACAUGGGAAAGGGACUACUCUAACUAAAGAUACGCAGCAGUACACUCCAAAGGAUCUGCUGCAAUUCAGGAGAAAAAUCUUGAUAUCAGCACUGGUGUUUCUUUGAAAUCAUCAACUCAAAGCAUGAAGCUCAAAAGCAAUCAGAAAGGCAAACAGAUGUUCAAAGUUACUAGGAAAUAUACAGCGAGAACAGGAAGAACUAUCAUUCCAAUGAUGUUAGUUCCACACCUGGAAUACUAUUUUCUUCUUUCAUUGCCUCAUCUUAAAAAUACUGGAGAUCUAGAAGAGUUCUUUAAAAUGUUCCUAAAAAAUACAAGAGAACAAUGAUAAUCUGAAGUUUGGCACUGAUUGAAAAUAAAGAAAAAAUAGUUAGGCAAAUUCUCAUCCUGAAGGAGGGUCAUUGAACAGGACAUAUGGAAAAAAAAGUGAUAUCAUGCAUGAAGAGAGAGAAUUGGCAUGUUUAUUCAUUUUUUCCACAUAAGAGAAAAACUAGGAGGCAUUAACUGAAAUCACUAGGGAGCAGGUAUAAAAUAAACAGAUGCACUUUUCCAUGCUAUACGUAAUUAAAUUAUGGAACACAUUGCCACAGGAUGUUACAAAACCCAAAUGUGUUUAUAAAGUGGCUAGGGAGGUCCAUAGAAGUAAGGGCCAUCAAGGAUAAUUAACACAAUGCAGUUGCAACAUCUUGUACUGGAAUGCCCAAGCUGCUGAUUGCAAGUAGCUCACAAUAUAAGCUUGGGGAAGUCUAUUUCUAUACUACCAUUUCAUUUUUAUGGUUUCCAGCAAGAUAUUUCUCACAAGCAUCUACCAUUAGGUCUGCCAAGAGAGGCCUCUCGGUUGAAUGGUGUGGCUGUUUCUACAACAGUCUAAAAAAUACUACUUGCCUAUUAUUUUUGCAAAUAUAUUCAAAGCAAAGAACCAAUUUUUUUUUUUGUGGCAAAUGUGCUUAAAAAGUAUCCAGCAUCUGAUAAAAAUGAGCAUAGGAAGCAAAAUAUUCCUCAAGGUCAAAAUACCUCUUAGAGGGAUUUUUUUUGUUGGUUGUGGUGUGGGGGUACUAAAUGCAGCUUUUUUCAUCAUUAAUUCAAAGGUCUGUGACAGUUGAAUCUCUAAAUAUGCAAACUGAAAAGUAUAUGGUGAACUUACUUGAGCAAUAACAUUAAAUUCAGGGGAAAAUCUGUUUAAUACUUCAGGAAAAAAACAAAAAUCGCCUUCAACAUCUUGUACUUCACAGGAAAAAUAUCUAUUUCAAGUUUAACUCUACAAAUGCUUAUAUUUUAUAAAAUCCUAAAAAUGAAAGCACUCAUUUCGGAUUAUUUCCUGUAGUAUUCACUAUAUUGUAAUUUAGAGAUGGAUAUGAAGUUGUAUUCACACUGAAAUUAUCCUGUUCUUCUACAAAAUGUAAUUGUGUAUUACAACACUUUUUUACUCUGCAUUUUCAAAAUGAGAAUGGCUGUCUAUACUUGUUAUAGAAGAAGUUUCAAUUUUCUGUCUGUGGAACCAGCUAUGUGCAGACAUAUAUAUUCCUUCUGUACUUACUUUCCCUGGACUUUCUAGUUUCUCAGUAUUAAAAACCAUAACAAUUAUUUUUAUUUCUUAGUGUGCUCUUGUACAUAAGUUUAUAUCAUAUAUAAAAUGUAACCAUCUAGCAUUUUAUUCUUUUAAAUCAGUAAGUUGUGUUAUCAAAGAAUUUUUGAGCAUCUGGUAUAAAAAUGUCUGCAUUUUGCUUCAACAGAAAGGACAUGUCAAUAAGAGUUGCAUAUAGGUCAAGACAAUGGAUGGAGGAACAGGACCAGUUUUAUAAGUCAAUCACUUGUCCAGCACUCUUCUGCAUGAGGGCUACAAGCAUUCAUACGUGUGUUACAAUUUUUCUCAAAAUCUUAAAAAAUAUAAAAUAACAGCUCACAUUGAACUCAUAUCAAAAGGAAUAUUUAACUAUUUAUAUGUUUAAUUUAGGAAUGUUUAACCUUCUAUCGUCAAAAUUUCCAAAGGAAAAGAAGAAAAAUAUAGCAGUUUCACAUGCUGGCACUAGUAGAACAGUGCAUCAGUAGAAUUUGCCAUUAUUGUAGUAAUCAAAUUUGAAUGUCUGGAUCAUUAUCACACAUAAUGGAUGGAAAAAUUUUUUAAGUGCUGUUUCUUUCUAUUUGAUUUGAAAUACUGUUAUGCAUCAUGAAAAAGGAUUUUCAAACGUGAAAUCUGAACUCAUCAGUCACUGGGAGCUGCUUAUCCAGGCUAUUAAAAUAAUUUUUAAAAUUACAUGUCUGGUUAAAUUUGAAGCUAAAAUGGAGAUUUUAUAUCUUCUAAAUGUCAAGAAACAAGGGAGCUUAACCAUGUUUAUGAAAGCUCACAAAAAAAAAAAAAAAAAAAAAAAAG